AAUAGAUACCCCGGUAGUCCACGCCGUAAACGAUGAGUGCUAAGUGUUGGGGGGUUUCCGCCCCUCAGUGCUGCAGCUAACGCAUUAAGCACUCCGCCUGGGGAGUACGGUCGCAAGACUGAAACUCAAAGGAAUUGACGGGGGCCGGCACAAGCGGUGGAGCAUGUGGUUUAAUUCGAAGCAACGCGAAGAACCUUACCAGGUCUUGACAUCCCGGUGACCACUAUGGAGACAUAGUUUCCCCUUCGGGGGCAACGGUGACAGGUGGUGCAUGGUUGUCGUCAGCUCGUGUCGUGAGAUGUUGGGUUAAGUCCCGCAACGAGCGCAACCCUUAUUCUUAGUUGCCAUCAUUCAGUUGGGCACUCUAAGGAGACUGCCGGUGAUAAACCGGAGGAAGGUGGGGAUGACGUCAAAUCAUCAUGCCCCUUAUGACCUGGGCUACACACGUGCUACAAUGGACGGUACAAACGGUUGCCAACCCGCGAGGGGGAGCUAAUCCGAUAAAACCGUUCUCAGUUCGGAUUGUAGGCUGCAACUCGCCUAC
This 544-nucleotide ribosomal RNA is filed under the name uncultured bacterium. Its description in RNAcentral is "bacterial SSU rRNA". It matches the Rfam family "Bacterial small subunit ribosomal RNA", at positions 777 to 1319 of the family's 1533-position model. The record is from RNAcentral.